GGGCGGGUGGCGGAACGGCAGACGCGCUAGCCUUAGGAGCUAGUGAGAGUAAUCUCGUGAGAGUUCAAAUCUCUCCCCGCCCACAA
The sequence is a transfer RNA, 86 nucleotides long. It matches the Rfam family "tRNA". From Rfam's summary of the family: Transfer RNA (tRNA) molecules are approximately 80 nucleotides in length. Their secondary structure includes four short double-helical elements and three loops (D, anti-codon, and T loops).